GAAAUGGCUGUUAAUACCGCAUAAGCCUACAGCCUCGCAUGAGGGAGCAGGAGAAGAAAUUCGGUGCAGGAUGAGUCCGCGUCUGAUUAGCUAGUUGGAGGGGUAAAAGCCCACCAAGGCAACGAUCAGUAGCCGGCCUGAGAGGGCGACCGGCCACAUUGGGACUGAGACACGGCCCAAACUCCUACGGGAGGCAGCAGUGGGGAAUAUUGCACAAUGGGGGAAACCCUGAUGCAGCGACGCCGCGUGAGCGAGGAAGUAUUUCGGUAUGUAAAGCUCUAUCAGCAGGGACGAAAAAAGACGGUACCUGACUAAGAAGCCCCGGCUAACUACGUGCCAGCAGCCGCGGUAAUACGUAGGGGGCAAGCGUUAUCCGGAUUUACUGGGUGUAAAGGGAGCGUAGACGGCAAGGCAAGCCAGAAGUGAAAGGGCAGGGCUCAACCCUGUACAUGCUUUUGGAACUGUGGUGCUAGAGUGCAGGAGAGGUAAGUGGAAUUCCUAGUGUAGCGGUGGAAUGCGUAGAUAUUAGGAGGAACACCAGUGGCGAAGGCGGCUUACUGGACUGUAACUGACGUUGAGGCUCGAAAGCGUGGGGAGCAAACAGGAUUAGAUACCCUGGUAGUCC
RNAcentral lists this ribosomal RNA (625 nucleotides) under uncultured bacterium. RNAcentral's name for it is "bacterial SSU rRNA". It matches the Rfam family "Bacterial small subunit ribosomal RNA", at positions 153 to 796 of the family's 1533-position model. The record is from RNAcentral.